AGAGUUUGAUCCUGGCUCAGGACGAACGCUGGCGGCGUGCUUAACACAUGCAAGUCGAACGGUGAAGUCAGAGCUUGCUCUGGCGGAUCAGUGGCGAACGGGUGAGUAACACGUGAGUAACCUGCCCCCGACUCUGGGAUAACUGCUAGAAAUGGUAGCUAAUACCGGAUAUGACGACUGGCCGCAUGGUCUGGUCGUGGAAAGAACUUCGGUUGGGGAUGGACUCGCGGCCUAUCAGGUAGUUGGUGAGGUAAUGGCUCACCAAGCCUACGACGGGUAGCCGGCCUGAGAGGGUGACCGGCCACACUGGGACUGAGACACGGCCCAGACUCCUACGGGAGGCAGCAGUGGGGAAUAUUGCACAAUGGGCGAAAGCCUGAUGCAGCAACGCCGCGUGAGGGAUGACGGCCUUCGGGUUGUAAACCUCUUUUAGUAGGGAAGAAGCGAAAGUGACGGUACCUGCAGAAAAAGCACCGGCUAACUACGUGCCAGCAGCCGCGGUAAUACGUAGGGUGCAAGCGUUGUCCGGAAUUAUUGGGCGUAAAGAGCUCGUAGGCGGUUUGUCGCGUCUGCUGUGAAAUCCCGAGGCUCAACCUCGGGUCUGCAGUGGGUACGGGCAGACUAGAGUGCGGUAGGGGAGAUUGGAAUUCCUGGUGUAGCGGUGGAAUGCGCAGAUAUCAGGAGGAACACCGAUGGCGAAGGCAGAUCUCUGGGCCGUAACUGACGCUGAGGAGCGAAAGCAUGGGGAGCGAACAGGAUUAGAUACCCUAGUAGUCC
RNAcentral lists this ribosomal RNA (777 nucleotides) under uncultured bacterium. RNAcentral's name for it is "bacterial SSU rRNA". It matches the Rfam family "Bacterial small subunit ribosomal RNA", at positions 8 to 796 of the family's 1533-position model. The record is from RNAcentral.